AGAGUUUGAUCCUGGCUCAGGACGAACGCUGGCGGCGUGCUUAACACAUGCAAGUCACGGGGGUCCGCAAGGGCAACCGGCGAACGGGUGCGUAACACGUGAGCAACCUACCUCGAUGUGGGGGAUAGCCGGCCCAACGGCCGGGUAAUACCGCAUACGAUUCUUUGGGGGAGUCCCCAGGGAAGGAAACCUCCGGGGCAUUGAGAGGGGCUCGCGGCCUAUCAGCUAGUUGGCGAGGUAACGGCUCACCAAGGCGACGACGGGUAGCUGGUCUGAGAGGAUGGCCAGCCACAUUGGGACUGAGAGACGGCCCAGACUCCUACGGGAGGCAGCAGUGGGGAAUCUUGCGCAAUGGCCGAAAGGCUGACGCAGCGACGCCGCGUGUGGGAUGAAGCAUUUCGGUGUGUAAACCACUGUUGCCCGGGACGAACAGCUUCUUUCGAGGAGCCUGACGGUACCGGGUGAGGAAGCACCGGCUAACUCCGUGCCAGCAGCCGCGGUAAUACGGAGGGUGCGAGCGUUGUCCGGAAUCACUGGGCGUAAAGGGCGCGUAGGCGGCCCGGCAAGUCAACGGUGAAAGCUUGGGGCUCAACCCCGAGUCGGCCGUCGAUACUUCCGGGCUGGAGCACUGUAGAGGCAGGUGGAAUUCCGGGUGUAGCGGUGGAAUGCAGAGAUCCGGAAGAACACCGGUGGCGAAGGCGGCCUGCUGGGCAGUAGCUGACGCUGAGGCGCGACAGCGUGGGGAGCAAACAGGAUUAGAUACCCUAGUAGUCC
Molecule: ribosomal RNA, 774 nt
Filed under: uncultured bacterium
Lineage: Bacteria
Description: bacterial SSU rRNA
Rfam family: Bacterial small subunit ribosomal RNA
Source: RNAcentral